This 126-nucleotide microRNA precursor is filed under the name Myotis lucifugus (little brown bat). Its description in RNAcentral is "mir-9193 microRNA precursor family". It matches the Rfam family "mir-9193 microRNA precursor family". The record is from Rfam by way of RNAcentral. Lineage: Eukaryota; Metazoa; Chordata; Mammalia; Chiroptera; Vespertilionidae.
CAUGCACUAGUGGGGUCCCUUGGCCAGGCCUGCGCCCUCUCGCAAUCCGGAACACCUUGGGGGAUAUCAGAGAGCCAGUUUCAACCUGAUCCUGCAGGCCAGGCCGAGGGACCCCACUAGUGCAUG